AGAGUUUGAUCCUGGCUCAGGACGAACGCUGGCGGCGUGGAUUAGGCAUGCAAGUCGAACGGUAGGGGACUUUCGGGUUCCUGAGAGUGGCGAACGGGUGAGUAACACGUAGGUAAUCUACCCUCAAAUCGGGGACAACCCAGGGAAACUUGGGCUAAUACCGGAUGCGUGCGGCACCUAAAUGAUCCUGGUUGAGAUGGGAGAGAUUCUGUUUUGACUGGGUGGGUUAUUUAGGUGCUGCAUAAAAGGUGGCUGGUAACAGCUGUUGUUUGAGGAUGAGCCUGCGCUCUAUUAGUUAGUUGGUGGGGUAAUGGCCUACCAAGGCGAUGAUAGAUAGGCGGCCUUAACGGGUGGUCGCCCACACUGGGAUUGAGAUACGGCCCAGACUCCUACGGGAGGCAGCAGUCGAGAAUAGUCUACAAUGGACGAAAGUCUGAUAGUGCGACGCCGCGUGAACGAGGAAGCCCUUCGGGGUGUAAAGUUCUUUUAUAUGUGAGCAAUGCUUCUUAUAUGAAUAGUAUGAGGAGAGAGAUAUUAGCAUAUGAAUAAGCAACGGCUAACUCCGUGCCAGCAGCCGCGGUAACACGGGGGUUGCAAGCGUUGUCCGGAAUUACUAGGCGUAAAGGGCAGGUAGGCGGAUCUAUAAGUUUGAUGUUAAAGGCAGCGGCUCACCCGUUGUGCGGCAUUAGAUACUGUAGAUCUGGAAUGCGGUUGGGGAAGACAGAAUUCCUGGUGUAGCGGUGGAAUGCGCAGAGAUCAGGAGGAAUACCGAAGGCGAAGGCAGUCUUCUAAGCCGAUAUUGACGCUAAACUGCGAAGGUGUGGGUAUCAAACAGGAUUAGAUACCCUGGUAGUCCACACAGUAAACGAUAAUCACUAGGUGUUGGGUUCGAAGAGAAUUCGGUGCCGUAGCUAACGCGAUAAGUGAUUCGCCUGGGGAGUACGAUCGCAAGGUUGAAACUCAAAUGAAUUGACGG
RNAcentral lists this ribosomal RNA (976 nucleotides) under uncultured Candidatus Cloacimonas sp. Its description in RNAcentral is "bacterial SSU rRNA". It matches the Rfam family "Bacterial small subunit ribosomal RNA", at positions 8 to 916 of the family's 1533-position model. Lineage: Bacteria; Pseudomonadati; Candidatus Cloacimonadota; Cloacimonadia (SeqCode); Cloacimonadales (SeqCode); Cloacimonadaceae (SeqCode). The record is from RNAcentral.